This 868-nucleotide long non-coding RNA is filed under the name Medicago truncatula (barrel medic). RNAcentral describes it as "long non-coding RNA (MTRU_LNC006616)". Lineage: Eukaryota; Viridiplantae; Streptophyta; Magnoliopsida; Fabales; Fabaceae. The record is from RNAcentral.
AGUUUGCCUGUGACAUCUAAUAGUUCUGUUCUAAAUGAUCAGAAUCUCCAAACUAGUGGAUAUAUUGGUUCAAUAUCCAUGCCGUGUCAAUCAGAAUUGGUGCCUUCUCCGGACCCAACAAAUUCAUGUCAAACAGGAUUGACACCUUCUCCUGACCCUGCAAAUCCAUGUCAAACAGGAUUUAUGCCUUAUCCAGACCCUGUGAAUUCUUGUCAAACAGGAGGAUUUAUGCCGUCUCCCAACCCAGCAAAUUCAUGUCAAACAGGAUUGACGCCUUCUCCUGACCCUUCAAAUUCUUGUCAAACAGGAUUUAUGCCUUAUCCAGACCCUGUGAAUUCUUAUCAAACAGGAUUUAUGCCUGCUUCCGACCCUGCAAAUUCAUGUCAAACAGAAUUUAUGCCGUCCCCUGACCAUGCGAGUUCAUGUCAAAUAGGAUUGAUGCCUUUGCCUGACCCUGCAAAUGAUUCAUAUCCAGACAAUCAAGCUGUUAAUAAUGAUGACGACGAUAUUCUAGCAAUGCUUGAUAUUUUCAAAGGCAAUGGCGUAUUGCCUGCACCCGACCCUGCAAAUGAUUCAUAUCCAGACAAUCAAGCUGUUAAUAAUGAUGAUGAUAUUCUAGCAAUGCUUGAUAUUUUUGAAGAGAACGGCAUAUUGCCUGAGGUAUGCUAAUCUGUUUUUUCUUCCUUCUACUUAUGUUUUUCUGGAAACAGUGAAGUUUUUUUAUGUCUGGUUUUAGUGUUCUCUAUAUUUGUAGACUUGUUGUUUUAUCUAUCCCAUGCAGUUUGCAUUGUCUCCUCAUAAUGUUAAUGCCAUUUUACUAAAUCAUAGGGAUUUAUAUAGUCCUUGAUUUCUUGAAGGGAUAACUAAG